Long non-coding RNA from Sparus aurata (gilthead seabream), 3253 nucleotides. NCBI's taxonomy places the organism in Eukaryota, Metazoa, Chordata, Actinopteri, Spariformes, Sparidae. The record is from Ensembl.
AUGGUGCGGAUGCUCUUUCCACCUGGGCCCAAAGGUGAGAUCAGGUGUUGGUUCAAGAUCCAUAAAAAAAACGGGGGAAUUCUAUUCAAAACAUGCACAAGGACCAACACUGACAAUAAACAUUUCCACUAUGCAUUUCUUCUCUCUGUCUACAUUAGAGUCCUCAGUCUGGAUCAGAUUGGAUCUCAUCCCCAAACCACAAAUGUUUGCACGCUGAACAAGGUUUUUUCUUGUUGUUGUGAGGGAGCGCUUCCUCACAUAGAAAACAUAUCGUGCCCGCUUCACAAGCCGUCCCAGCGGCUCGGGGAAGAAAUGGCUGCUCCGCGGGGAAAUGUGGCGAAUGAUAACAUUGUGUGCAGCGUUUGGAUUGCGUGAGAGGGUCUAAAAUGGUGCUUCAUUGUGGCCAGGUACCCUUGAGAAACCCUCCUUUUAUAGAACUCCCCCGAAAGGGAGUGGGAAAUGCAGUGAGGAGACAGCGUGUUAAAGGCCCCGCUAUGCCAAGCCAUGAUGAUAAUAAGAAUGAUGAUGGGAAAUUCCAGCUGAGGACAAAUUAAACUGAUUUUCCUUUAUUUUCCCAUGGACAAAAACAGACAGUACUUCUUUAUUUUGUACAUAUCUGAGUGGCAGCCAAUACCAGAUACUCCAAUGACGCACUUAGAGGGGCCGGUUCGCCGCAAGAUCAAAAACACAUAUUUUUUCCUCUCGUCUGUAUCUCAAAAUAAUGCACAAACCCUUCAGUGAGCAUCUCCACGCAGGAACCUUCUUUUCUUUCGACAGAACAACACUUUGUUACAGCACAAAAGGAAACUAGCUAGCUGCUUAGCUCAACGGUACAGUUCAGUCGAGGAGGACGCCAUUUAUGUCUCCAUGCCGCGCUGUCACCGGCACGAGCCUCUCGUCCAUGUGUAGAUGCGCCUUCCUCCUGCCCGUUACGGCGCAACAUGUAAACAAAAGCGGCGUCCUUCCCGGCUGAGCUGACGUUAGCUAGCUUAGUUGGCAUGUUUCCUUCUGUGCGGUAAUACAGCUCAGUUGAGUAGGAAGAAAAAAAAAAUUCUCACAGGAAACCGCUCACAAUGAGGUUGCCAGAUUAUUUCGUUUAUUUAUUUUAGUAACUGGGUCAUGACUGCUGGAAAAGAGACAUCGCCUGUUGAGCGUUUCAGAUGUACUUUUUUUUGUUUUGUGCCUGGAGACGAGUGCCAUCCAGUUUCAUUAUAUUUGAGAUAAGGCCGACAUCUCCACAGCUCAUUUCUCAAGAUUUGGCAACUCCCACCAAAACAAUCUAGAUGGAUAAAUAGCUCAAUGGCUCUAGGUAGAAUGAAGGUAAGAUGAAGAAUAUUCAUAUCUGAUUUUGAGGUGAACUGUCCUCUGUUUUUUAUUUUUGCGGGAGGUAAAAAAAGGAAAAUCAGGUCCAAAUCAAUCUGAAUGAAAUAACAGCACUACAGGUGAGAAGGAUCUUUGGGUGAACUGUCUCUUUAAGACGGAGUGGAGGAGGAGUUGUUGCAUGUUUUUUCAUAUUCUCUUCAAUUUACUGUGAAUUACUGUUAUCAGCUGGAACUAUCUGCAGACAAACCAUCCUUUUAUAAAACCCCAGGCACUAAUUUGUUUCCUUGCUUUUUUAAGUGUUCCUGUACUUGGAUCUUGCAGCAAACGAUUCCCCACGCUGUGGUACCACUUUCAUAAUUUAAAAGCACAGAGCCUUUCUUUGUGGCCACAUAGUUAGAAAAUAUUACCAAACGUGCCCUUACAGGUCAUGAUGGAUUUAGUUCUCCUCUUGAGAGGCCAGUGGUUUUCACACCACAUUCUCCCACUGGUCUUAAAGCCAAGCAAGCCUAAUUACCGAGCCUUAUUUAAAGAGCCAGCAGCCGUGUUUUGCUGACUCACGACUGGCUCGACACCAAGGGUAACAGUGAGUUUAAUCCACUGACUUUCGCCUGUUCAUUUCCCAGUUCUCCGCGAGCUGCGAUCAUUGCGUUUAUUAAGACGACGCCGCUUGACCUUGCCUGUAAACAUCCAAAUAAAAGGAUUCAAUUACUGCUCCCUGUUGGCAAGAGGAGGCAAGAGAAUUAAAAUAAAGAGCAGUGCAGUGAGAAGUUACUCCACAGUUGGGUCUAUUGUUCUGGGCUGCUGUCUCGGAGAGGCAGGCACCGCUUGCCUGUAUAAACCUGUGGGCUGUAAUUUGGAGGGCGUUGGCUUGUCAAGGAGUUUAGGAGUGAAUAGCGUAGGUGAGCUGAUAAAAAAAUGAAGCCUUUUGGGGAUUUCCUAUGAAUGGAAGCACCUUGACUGGGUGUGUGCUUAAUCGCCUUUAAUGCUUCUGCAGGACUCUCCUGAAAGGAGUAAAAUCCCGAACAAUAAACAUCCAAUAAUGAAUGCAAACAACCAAAUCCAUUUUUAGACUGUAUGCAACAGGAACUUACCCGAGCUGAGUGAGGACACGCUCCUCCAGACCUAAAUACUUGUGCCUGUCCUCUUCCACCAAGCCCUCUGCCUCUGGACAGGGUCCUCCAGACCUCGCAUGGCUUCUGCGAGUUUAACACUAAUCUCCUGCUCUGCCCGCUUCAGCUGUAUUCGCAGCGCCUCCUGGUUCUGGAGCUGAGCGGAUGCACGCAGUGGGAAUGACACGUAUGAGGACCUGAACUUGCAGACCAACACACACAUACACACACACACACACACUCGAAAUUCAUUAAAAAAGGAGAAAAGAGGUCUUGCCUGCAGCUGUCUCAUCUGAUGCAGUUGCAUCCUGAGGUCAGAAACGUUCUUCCUGAACUGCAGGAGGUUGAUUUUGAGAGGAACUGAGCUUUUGUCCGAUGGGGCUGCAUUGGUCUUGGGAGCCAAAACUGGGGAACCACCUGUAUAUCACGUGGGGGGGGGAAAAAAGAAAAACAAGUUACAGCUUGUUGCAUGAAAAAUGUUACCCAAUAGCACCUAAACAAAUGAGGUUUAUUUUCAUUCAUAUGCACAUGCUGAAACUCGUCUGCAAACAUGUUUUCUCUGGCAACACACCAGUCGGACUUUCAGAUCCUUAUGUUUAGGAGCGAUUUCCUGAACUCUCUGUGGCUUUUUCUCUUUCCAGGCACAAUAAGCACAUACACCAGCACUUAUACUGGCUGCACCUCUGAAAUGCCCGUCAACUGAUCAUGCCAUUUUCAGUCGCCGCGAGGGGCAAGGCAAGAGGUUGAAACCAUGGAAACCAGGGGAGCUAAUAUUUGUGGUCUGAGCAGAUAGUCCCUAAAUAGCCAACAACAAUAAUAAU